RNAcentral lists this ribosomal RNA (3216 nucleotides) under Staphylococcus aureus LPIH6010. RNAcentral describes it as "bacterial LSU rRNA". The stretch from base 1082 to 3215 matches the Rfam family "Bacterial large subunit ribosomal RNA". The record is from RNAcentral. Lineage: Bacteria; Bacillati; Bacillota; Bacilli; Caryophanales; Staphylococcaceae.
ACGAGUUUAGUAGAGCUAAAUGAGUAAGUGAGAGCCGAAGGAGAGGAAAGAAGCAAGCGAUUGUCACAAGUCAAGAAAGGUUCUUAGCGAGGAUGGUAGCCAACUUACGUUCCGCUAGAGUAGAACUGGAAAUGAUAAUUUAAUAAUGUACACUUUCGAUUGUCUAAGUAUGUACAACUUUAAUUUUGUGUUUAUAUAAAUUUAAAAUGAUAUCAUCGAAAACAAAAUAUUGUAUAAAUAGAGAAGAGCAGUAAGACGGUAUCUAAUUGAAAAUGAUCUUACUGCUCUUUUAUAUACUUUAUUGAAAUACAAAAAGGAAAUUAAUUAUUAUACAAUAGACAAGCUAUUGCAUAAGUAACACUAACUUUUAUCAAAGAAGUGUUACUUUAUAAUUAAUGAUUUUAUUAGAGCGUCUACAUGCGGUUUUAAAGCAUCAUCGUCUAUACCGCCAAAGCCUAAUAUAAAUUUAGGGGUUUUCUUAUAGUCUUGAUCAUCAUCAAAAUUAUAAACUUGUAAUUUUAACUUUACUUUGUUUGCUCUAUCAAGACACUCUUGUAAUGUUAAUCCAUUUUUUACUGUAAUUGUAAAAUGCAUACCCGUUUCAGCACCUUGAAUAUCAAGCUGCUCUUUGUAAGGUUUCAAUCUUUUUAAAAUAUAGGUUAGUUUUCUACGAUAAAUUCGUCUCAUUUUAUUUAAAUGCCUUUCAAAACCACCGGAAGAUAUAAACGUUGCAAUAAGGUUUUGCAUAUGAACAGGUACAGUGUUGCCUUCAAUGUGAUUUUGAGAAUGAUAUUUUUUCAUUAUAGAAUAGGGUAACACCAUAUAUGCAACUCGACAGCUAGGAAAAAUAGACUUUGAAAAUGUACUGAUAUAAAUCACUUUUUCUCCUCUUGAAUAUAGACCUUGAAUUGCUGGAAUGGGUUUGCCGAAAUAUCUAAACUCGGAAUCAUAAUCAUCUUCUAUAAUAAAUCGUUCUUCUUUUUCUUGAGCCCAUUGUAUUAAUUGAGUUCGUUUUUUUAAGUCCAUCACAUAUCCAGUUGGAAAUUGAUGGGAAGGCGUUAUAUAUACUAUAUUUUUUUGUGAUUUAAUAACUUCAUCUACGUUUAUUCCAUUAUCUUCAACUUCAAUUUGUUCAUAUUCAACUUGUUUUUUAUCUAAAAUAUUUUUGAUUGGUGGAUAACUAGGUUUUUCGAUAAUAAAUGUUGAAGUAUAAAGUAAAUCGACUAAUUGAUUUACUAAUUGUUCGGUAGAUGAGCCAAUUAUAAUUUGAUUAGGAUCACAAAUUACGCCACGAUUAGUAAAUAAAUAAAAUGCCAGUUGAAACCGCAAAUGUAAUUCUCCUUGAAAAUGUCCUCUACGUAAUUGAUUUAAAUGAUUUGUAUCGACAACUAGGAUGUUGGCUUAGAAGCAGCCAUCAUUUAAAGAGUGCGUAAUAGCUCACUAGUCGAGUGACACUGCGCCGAAAAUGUACCGGGGCUAAACAUAUUACCGAAGCUGUGGAUUGUCCUUUGGACAAUGGUAGGAGAGCGUUCUAAGGGCGUUGAAGCAUGAUCGUAAGGACAUGUGGAGCGCUUAGAAGUGAGAAUGCCGGUGUGAGUAGCGAAAGACGGGUGAGAAUCCCGUCCACCGAUUGACUAAGGUUUCCAGAGGAAGGCUCGUCCGCUCUGGGUUAGUCGGGUCCUAAGCUGAGGCCGACAGGCGUAGGCGAUGGAUAACAGGUUGAUAUUCCUGUACCACCUAUAAUCGUUUUAAUCGAUGGGGGGACGCAGUAGGAUAGGCGAAGCGUGCGAUUGGAUUGCACGUCUAAGCAGUAAGGCUGAGUAUUAGGCAAAUCCGGUACUCGUUAAGGCUGAGCUGUGAUGGGGAGAAGACAUUGUGUCUUCGAGUCGUUGAUUUCACACUGCCGAGAAAAGCCUCUAGAUAGAAAAUAGGUGCCCGUACCGCAAACCGACACAGGUAGUCAAGAUGAGAAUUCUAAGGUGAGCGAGCGAACUCUCGUUAAGGAACUCGGCAAAAUGACCCCGUAACUUCGGGAGAAGGGGUGCUCUUUAGGGUUAACGCCCAGAAGAGCCGCAGUGAAUAGGCCCAAGCGACUGUUUAUCAAAAACACAGGUCUCUGCUAAACCGUAAGGUGAUGUAUAGGGGCUGACGCCUGCCCGGUGCUGGAAGGUUAAGAGGAGUGGUUAGCUUCUGCGAAGCUACGAAUCGAAGCCCCAGUAAACGGCGGCCGUAACUAUAACGGUCCUAAGGUAGCGAAAUUCCUUGUCGGGUAAGUUCCGACCCGCACGAAAGGCGUAACGAUUUGGGCACUGUCUCAACGAGAGACUCGGUGAAAUCAUAGUACCUGUGAAGAUGCAGGUUACCCGCGACAGGACGGAAAGACCCCGUGGAGCUUUACUGUAGCCUGAUAUUGAAAUUCGGCACAGCUUGUACAGGAUAGGUAGGAGCCUUUGAAACGUGAGCGCUAGCUUACGUGGAGGCGCUGGUGGGAUACUACCCUAGCUGUGUUGGCUUUCUAACCCGCACCACUUAUCGUGGUGGGAGACAGUGUCAGGCGGGCAGUUUGACUGGGGCGGUCGCCUCCUAAAAGGUAACGGAGGCGCUCAAAGGUUCCCUCAGAAUGGUUGGAAAUCAUUCAUAGAGUGUAAAGGCAUAAGGGAGCUUGACUGCGAGACCUACAAGUCGAGCAGGGUCGAAAGACGGACUUAGUGAUCCGGUGGUUCCGCAUGGAAGGGCCAUCGCUCAACGGAUAAAAGCUACCCCGGGGAUAACAGGCUUAUCUCCCCCAAGAGUUCACAUCGACGGGGAGGUUUGGCACCUCGAUGUCGGCUCAUCGCAUCCUGGGGCUGUAGUCGGUCCCAAGGGUUGGGCUGUUCGCCCAUUAAAGCGGUACGCGAGCUGGGUUCAGAACGUCGUGAGACAGUUCGGUCCCUAUCCGUCGUGGGCGUAGGAAAUUUGAGAGGAGCUGUCCUUAGUACGAGAGGACCGGGAUGGACAUACCUCUGGUGUACCAGUUGUCGUGCCAACGGCAUAGCUGGGUAGCUAUGUGUGGACGGGAUAAGUGCUGAAAGCAUCUAAGCAUGAAGCCCCCCUCAAGAUGAGAUUUCCCAACUUCGGUUAUAAGAUCCCUCAAAGAUGAUGAGGUUAAUAGGUUCGAGGUGGAAGCAUGGUGACAUGUGGAGCUGACGAAUACUAAUCGAUCGAAGACUUAAUCAA